UUCAGUGCAAGCCAAAGUAAGGUGAAACCGCGAAUGGCUCAUUAAAUCAGUUAUGGUUCCUUAGAUCGUACCAAAUUACUUGGAUAACUGUGGUAAUUCUAGAGCUAAUACAUGCAAACAGAGUCCCGACCAGAAAUGGAAGGGACGCUUUUAUUAGAUCAAAACCAAUCGGUCGGCUUGUCCGGUCCGUUUGCCUUGGUGACUCUGAAUAACUUUGGGCUGAUCGCACGGUCCUGGUACCGGCGACGCAUCUUUCAAAUGUCUGCCUUAUCAACUGUCGAUGGUAGGUUCUGCGCCUACCAUGGUUGUAACGGGUAACGGGGAAUCAGGGUUCGAUUCCGGAGAGGGAGCCUGAGAAACGGCUACCACAUCCAAGGAAGGCAGCAGGCGCGCAAAUUACCCACUCCCGGCACGGGGAGGUAGUGACGAAAAAUAACGAUACGGGACUCAUCCGAGGCCCCGUAAUCGGAAUGAAUACACUUUAAAUCCUUUAAUGAGUAUCCAUUGGAGGGCAAGUCUGGUGCCAGCAGCCGCGGUAAUUCCAGCUCCAAUAGCGUAUAUUAAAGUUGUUGCGGUUAAAAAGCUCGUAGUUGGAUUUGUGUCCCACGCUGUCGGUUCAUCGCUCGUCGGUGUCUAACUGGCAUGAUUCGUGGGACGUCCUGCCGGUGGUGGCGAGUCGAAGGCGUGCACCCGUUGUGGUUUCCACUUCGGUUCUUGCGCGCCGGAGGCGGACCCCGAUGAAAUCCUACCGCGGUGCUCUUCGCCGAGUGUCGAGGUGGGCCGGCACGUUUACUUUGAACAAAUUAGAGUGCUUAAAGCANGCCUGUUGCGCCUGAAUACUGUGUGCAUGGAAUAAUGGAAUAGGACCUCGGUUCUAUUUUGUUGGUUUUCGGAACCCGAGGUAAUGAUUAAUAGGGACAGGCGGGGGCAUUCGUAUUGCGACGUUAGAGGUGAAAUUCUUGG
RNAcentral lists this ribosomal RNA (963 nucleotides) under Phaneroptera falcata (sickle-bearing bush cricket). Its description in RNAcentral is "SSU rRNA". It matches the Rfam family "Eukaryotic small subunit ribosomal RNA", at positions 59 to 923 of the family's 1831-position model. The record is from RNAcentral. Lineage: Eukaryota; Metazoa; Arthropoda; Insecta; Orthoptera; Tettigoniidae.